This 529-nucleotide ribosomal RNA is filed under the name uncultured bacterium. RNAcentral describes it as "partial 16S ribosomal RNA". It matches the Rfam family "Bacterial small subunit ribosomal RNA", at positions 355 to 893 of the family's 1533-position model. The record is from RNAcentral.
UGGGGAAUAUUGCACAAUGGGCGCAAGCCUGAUGCAGCAACGCCGCGUGAGGGAUGACGGCCUUCGGGUUGUAAACCUCUUUUAGCAGGGAAGAAGCGAAAGUGACGGUACCUGCAGAAAAAGCGCCGGCUAACUACGUGCCAGCAGCCGCGGUAAUACGUAGGGCGCAAGCGUUAUCCGGAAUUAUUGGGCGUAAAGAGCUCGUAGGCGGUUUGUCGCGUCUGCUGUGAAAAUCCCGAGGCUCAACCUCGGGUCUGCAGUGGGUACGGGCAGACUAGAGUGCGGUAGGGGAGAUUGGAAUUCCUGGUGUAGCGGUGGAAUGCGCAGAUAUCAGGAGGAACACCGAUGGCGAAGGCAGAUCUCUGGGCCGUAACUGACGCUGAGGAGCGAAAGGGUGGGGAGCAAACAGGCUUAGAUACCCUGGUAGUCCACCCCGUAAACGUUGGGAACUAGUUGUGGGGUCCAUUCCACGGAUUCCGUGACGCAGCUAACGCAUUAAGUUCCCCGCCUGGGGAGUACGGCCGCAAGG